Molecule: ribosomal RNA, 484 nt
Filed under: uncultured bacterium
Lineage: Bacteria
Description: partial 16S ribosomal RNA
Rfam family: Bacterial small subunit ribosomal RNA
Source: RNAcentral
AUUGAACGCUGGCGGCAGGCCUAACACAUGCAAGUCGAGCGGAUGAAGGGAGCUUGCUCCUGGAUUCAGCGGCGGACGGGUGAGUAAUGCCUAGGAAUCUGCCUGGUAGUGGGGGAUAACGUCCGGAAACGGGCGCUAAUACCGCAUACGUCAUGAGGGUGAAAGUGGGGGUUCUUCGGACCUCACGCUAUCAGAUGAGACUAGGUCGGAUUAGCUAGUUGGUGGGGUAAAGGCCUACCAAGGCGACGAUCCGUAACUGGUCUGAGAGGAUGAUCAGUCACACUGGAACUGAGACACGGUCCAGACUCCUACGGGAGGCAGCAGUGGGGAAUAUUGGGCAAUGGGCGAAAGCCUGAUCCAGCCAUGCCGCGUGUGUGAAGAAGGUCUUCGGAUUGUAAAGCACUGUAAGUUGGGAGGAAGGGCAGUAAGUUAAUACCUUGCUGUUUUGACGUUACCAACAGAAUAAGCACCGGCUAACUUCGUG